This 445-nucleotide ribosomal RNA is filed under the name uncultured bacterium. RNAcentral's name for it is "partial 16S ribosomal RNA". It matches the Rfam family "Bacterial small subunit ribosomal RNA", at positions 354 to 796 of the family's 1533-position model. The record is from RNAcentral.
GUAAGGAAUAUUGGACAAUGGACGCAAGUCUGAUCCAGCCAUGCCGCGUGAAGGAUUAAGGUCCUCUGGAUUGUAAACUUCUUUUAUAAGGGACGAAAAAAGGCUUUUCUAAGUCGUCUGACGGUACCUUAUGAAUAAGCACCGGCUAACUCCGUGCCAGCAGCCGCGGUAAUACGGAGGGUGCAAGCGUUAUCCGGAUUCACUGGGUUUAAAGGGUGCGUAGGCGUGCAGGUAAGUCAGUGGUGAAAUCCUAGAGCUUAACUCUAGAACUGCCAUUGAUACUAUCUGUCUUGAAUAUUGUGGAGGUAAGCGGAAUAUGUCAUGUAGCGGUGAAAUGCUUAGAUAUGACAUAGAACACCUAUUGCGAAGGCAGCUUACUACGCAUAUAUUGACGCUGAGGCACGAAAGCGUGGGGAUCAAACAGGAUUAGAUACCCGUGUAGUCC